Molecule: long non-coding RNA, 685 nt
Filed under: Taeniopygia guttata (zebra finch)
Lineage: Eukaryota; Metazoa; Chordata; Aves; Passeriformes; Estrildidae
Description: lncRNA (ENSTGUG00000029720.1)
Source: RNAcentral
GUAAAUAACAGCUUCUGAUUGGCUGUUGGCGCGGCGACCGCGCCCUGUUUGUGAUUGGCUGCGCGCCCGAGCUCUUCCCGGCCUCUGACUGGUUGAUUCGCGCUGAGUGGAGGCCACGCCCCCUGGCAACGGCGCCAUAGCAACGGCGGGGGGAGUCACGUGACCGCGAUGGACGGGGCCCAGCGCCGGUUGGAGCUGCUCGAGGAUCAACGGCAGAGGGCCGCGGCGGCUCUCGGGGGGUCUCUGGGGGUCCUGCCCCACCUGCGCCGGGAGUUGGAGCAGCUGCGGGCGGAGCGGCGGCGGCUGCAGCGAAUCCUGGGGGGGCGGCUGCGGGAGCUGGAGGAGACCCAACGGGAGAUCGAGGCGGAGCUGCAGAGAGCGGCGACGGCCCCGAGGGACGGGUGGGGACCCCAAAAACACCCGAACCCCAAAAAAACCCCCCAGAACACCUCAAAAAACUUCCGAAACACCCCUGAUACCCCAAAACCCCCCCCUGAACCCCAAAACCCCCCUGGAGCCCCCCAAACCCCCCUGAACCCCAAAAACUCCCCUGGAACAGCCCAAAACCCUCCCUGGACCCCAAAACCCCCCCUGGAACCCCAAAAAACCCCUGAAACCCCAAAGACCCCUGGAACCCCCAAAACCCCCCUGGAACCCCCAAACCCGACAGCCCCGGGACCCCCUG